GGUAAUGCCGGAUGUUCCACAUGAUCGCAUGUGAUUGUGGGAAAGAUUCUAUCGGCGUGGGAUGGGGUCGCGUCCUAUCAGCUUGUUGGUGAGGUAACGGCUCACCAAGGCUUCGACGGGUAGCCGGCCUGAGAGGGCGACCGGCCACAUUGGGACUGAGAUACGGCCCAGACUCCUACGGGAGGCAGCAGUGGGGAAUAUUGCACAAUGGGCGCAAGCCUGAUGCAGCGACGCCGCGUGAGGGAUGGAGGCCUUCGGGUUGUAAACCUCUUUUGUUUGGGAGCAAGCCUUCGGGUGAGUGUACCUUUCGAAUAAGCGCCGGCUAACUACGUGCCAGCAGCCGCGGUAAUACGUAGGGCGCAAGCGUUAUCCGGAUUUAUUGGGCGUAAAGGGCUCGUAGGCGGCUCGUCGCGUCCGGUGUGAAAGUCCAUCGCUUAACGGUGGAUCUGCGCCGGGUACGGGCGGGCUGGAGUGCGGUAGGGGAGACUGGAAUUCCCGGUGUAACGGUGGAAUGUGUAGAUAUCGGGAAGAACA
Molecule: ribosomal RNA, 534 nt
Filed under: Bifidobacterium bifidum
Lineage: Bacteria; Bacillati; Actinomycetota; Actinomycetes; Bifidobacteriales; Bifidobacteriaceae
Description: bacterial SSU rRNA
Rfam family: Bacterial small subunit ribosomal RNA
Source: RNAcentral